Molecule: ribosomal RNA, 484 nt
Filed under: uncultured bacterium
Lineage: Bacteria
Description: partial 16S ribosomal RNA
Rfam family: Bacterial small subunit ribosomal RNA
Source: RNAcentral
AUUGAACGCUGGCGGCAGGCCUAACACAUGCAAGUCGAGCGGAUGAAGGGAGCUUGCUCCUGGAUUCAGCGGCGGACGGGUGAGUAAUGCCUGGGAAUCUGCCUGGUAGUGGGGGAUAACGUCCGGAAACGGGCGCUAAUACCGCAUACGUCCUGAGGGAGAAAGUGGGGGAUCUUCGGACCUCACGCUAUCAGAUGAGCCUAGGUCGGAUUAGCUAGUUGGUGGGGUAAAGGCCUACCAAGGCGACGAUCCGUAACUGGUCUGAGAGGAUGAUCAGUCACACUGGAACUGAGACACGGUCCAGACUCCUACGGGAGGCAGCAGUGGGGAAUAUUGGACAAUGGGCGAAAGCCUGAUCCAGCCAUACCGCGUGUGUGAAGAAGGUCUUCGGAUUGUAAAGCACUUUAAGUUGGGAGGAAGGGCAGUAAGUUAAUACCUUGCUGUUUUGACGUUACCAACAGAAUAAGCACCGGCUAACUUCGUG